AAUUGGAGGGCAAGUCUGGUGCCAGCAGCCGCGGUAAUUCCAGCUCCAAUAGCGUAUAUUAAAGUUGUUGCAGUUAAAAAGCUCGUAGUUGAAUUUCGGGAUCAAUAUUUCGGUCAUGCCGUUGGUACGCACUGUUAUCAUUGAUUUCUCACCUUCUAAAGAACCGUAAUGCCAUUAAUUUGGUGUUACGGGGAAUUAGGACUGUUACCUUGAAAAAAUUAGAGUGUUUAAAGCAGGCUCACGCUUGAAUACAUUAGCAUGGAAUAAUGAAAUAGGACAUCCGAUUCUAUUUUGUUGGUUUCUAGGAUCGAUGUAAUGAUUAAUAGGGAUAGUUGGGGGCAUUAGUAUUCAAUUGUCAGAGGUGAAAUUCUUGGAUUUAUUGAAGACUAACUACUGCGAAAGCAUUUGCCAAGGAUGUUUUCAUUAAUCAAGAACGAAAGUUAGGGGAUCGAAGACGAUCAGAUACCGUCGUAGUCUUAACCAUAAACUAUGCCGACUAGGGAUCGGAUGAUGUUAAUUUUUUAAUGACUCAUUCGGCGCCUUACGGGAAACCAAAGUGU
RNAcentral lists this ribosomal RNA (560 nucleotides) under uncultured Glomus. RNAcentral's name for it is "SSU rRNA". It matches the Rfam family "Eukaryotic small subunit ribosomal RNA", at positions 546 to 1106 of the family's 1831-position model. The record is from RNAcentral. Lineage: Eukaryota; Fungi; Glomeromycota; Glomeromycetes; Glomerales; Glomeraceae.